Molecule: non-coding RNA, 233 nt
Organism: Chiloscyllium plagiosum (whitespotted bambooshark)
Lineage: Eukaryota; Metazoa; Chordata; Chondrichthyes; Orectolobiformes; Hemiscylliidae
Source: RefSeq, a predicted model, not a curated record
GCUCAGUGAGCAAACUUAUAUCCAGUACCACAGUUUUCUUAUGAUAAUGUAAUGACAAUGUAAUCAAUUUUGAAGCCAAUCCAUAAGGGUGAUGAGGAGGGUGUAGAGAUGGAUCAGAAGAAACGGCCAAGGCUAAGAAUUCAGAAGUCCUGACAAAUGUUCCCCUCUAAGUCCUGAUAUGGAAAUAUAUGGCCAUUCCUUCACUGACGCUGGGUCAAAUCCUUGGAAUCCCC